ACGAACCGUGCGAACGUUGUUCGGAAUCACUGGGCUUAAAGGGCGCGUAGGCGGCCGGGUUGGUCGUGGGUGAAAUCCCCCAGCUCAACUGGGGAAUUGCCUACGAUACUGCCUGGCUCGAGGGAGGAAGGGGCGGCCGGAACUGUCGGUGGAGCGGUGGAAUGCGUUGAGAUCGACAGGAACGCCGGUGGCGAAAGCGGGCCGCUGGCCCUCUUCUGACGCUGAUGCGCGAAAGCCAGGGGAGCGAACGGGA
This 253-nucleotide ribosomal RNA is filed under the name uncultured prokaryote. RNAcentral describes it as "partial 16S ribosomal RNA". It matches the Rfam family "Bacterial small subunit ribosomal RNA", at positions 525 to 777 of the family's 1533-position model. The record is from RNAcentral.